UGACCGAGAAGAUGUCCGCAGAUCAA
This 26-nucleotide non-coding RNA is filed under the name Mus musculus (house mouse). Lineage: Eukaryota; Metazoa; Chordata; Mammalia; Rodentia; Muridae. The record is from RNAcentral.